UGAAGUUUAAUUCUUUUGUUGUGCUAACU
Molecule: non-coding RNA, 29 nt
Filed under: Rattus norvegicus (Norway rat)
Lineage: Eukaryota; Metazoa; Chordata; Mammalia; Rodentia; Muridae
Source: RNAcentral